GUUCAUCCUGAAGCCCUGGGAAUUGAUUUGUCUGCAUUUUGUGAACCUGAGAUACAGAAGACCUCAUCAAUGCCUGGCAGUAUCAGCAGAUACUGGAUUUCUUGCUGGAGAAGGAAAGAAGUUGCCAUGACUACUCACCAAGUAAUACUCUAUUAUGUGCAAUGGAGACACUAACUGCCCCCAUGUCAGAGAAUUGCUGAGAACCAGACCCAGAGAGGAUUGCCAAAUUUUCCACUGAAUGCCAGAGGAAGAAGCACUCUGCUGAGGAGGGACACGUUGUGUUGGUGUUGCAAAGGUUUGUCUCUGCAAAGGAAAACAUCUUCAUUGCACAG
This is a long non-coding RNA of Vidua macroura (Pin-tailed whydah), 332 nucleotides long. RefSeq lists it as uncharacterized. The transcript has 4 exons. The record is from RefSeq and is a predicted model, not a curated record. NCBI's taxonomy places the organism in Eukaryota, Metazoa, Chordata, Aves, Passeriformes, Viduidae.